RNAcentral lists this ribosomal RNA (520 nucleotides) under uncultured Glomus. Its description in RNAcentral is "SSU rRNA". It matches the Rfam family "Eukaryotic small subunit ribosomal RNA", at positions 569 to 1090 of the family's 1831-position model. The record is from RNAcentral. Lineage: Eukaryota; Fungi; Glomeromycota; Glomeromycetes; Glomerales; Glomeraceae.
AGCAGCCGCGGUAAUUCCAGCUCCAAUAGCGUAUAUUAAAGUUGUUGCAGUUAAAAAGCUCGUAGUUGAAUUUCGGGGUUAGUAGGUUGGUCAUGCCUCUGGUAUGUACUGGUCUCACUGAUUCCUCCUUCCUGAUGAACCUUAAUGCCAUUAAUUUGGUGUUUUGGGGAAUUUGGACUGUUACUUUGAAAAAAUUAGAGUGUUUAAAGCAAGCUAACGCUUGAAUACAUUAGCAUGGAAUAAUGAAAUAGGACGUUUGACCCUAUUUUGUUGGUUUCUAGGAUCGACGUAAUGAUUAAUAGGGAUAGUUGGGGGCAUUAGUAUUCAAUUGUCAGAGGUGAAAUUCUUGGAUUUAUUGAAGACUAACUACUGCGAAAGCAUUUGCCAAGGAUGUUUUCAUUAAUCAAGAACGAAAGUUAGGGGAUCGAAGACGAUCAGAUACCGUCGUAGUCUUAACCAUAAACUAUGCCGACUAGGGAUCGGAUGAUGUUAAUUUUUUAAUGACUCAUUCGGCGCCUUA